Molecule: long non-coding RNA, 419 nt
Filed under: Trifolium pratense (red clover)
Lineage: Eukaryota; Viridiplantae; Streptophyta; Magnoliopsida; Fabales; Fabaceae
Description: long non-coding RNA (TPRA_LNC005002)
Source: RNAcentral
UGAUAACAAUACUGGUAUUGUGCACCUCUAGGGUUCCAUUUUCUGAAUCAUGUUGUUGAACCACCAAAUCAUAGGAGACCCUUGCGUUGCACUGUCAACUGUCGUCCCCUUCGCUGUAAUAUAUUGAAAAGUUCAGACAACUGAUACUUCCUAAUUUAGUAAUGACUUUUUUCUUCUUUUGUUCAUUAGUUGUUUUGUUAUGGGUUUGUAUUUUUGGGUUGUCUUGAUGUGUUCUACUCUUCUUCCUCCGUUAUGGUUCGUUCUUCUUUCAUUUUACUGCAUGCUGCAACUUUUUUUUUUUUUGUAAAAGCUUCAUUUCAAUCUUUGACAUAGUUGAAGUCACAUUAUGUUGGCCAUGACACAAAGUUAAUGAUUUUUCCGUUGUGUACCUCCGAAUUUUGGGGUAAGUAAAGUUUUUC